Oenanthe melanoleuca is the source of this 480-nucleotide long non-coding RNA. RefSeq lists it as uncharacterized. The transcript has 3 exons. The record is from RefSeq and is a predicted model, not a curated record. Lineage: Eukaryota; Metazoa; Chordata; Aves; Passeriformes; Muscicapidae.
GUGGGUCACUCUCUGCUCACUUGGACGUGCCUGCAACCUGAUUCACCUGGGAGCCAGGCGAGCGAGGCUCCACCCAAGGCAGAGCGGGGAUUCAGCCAGCAAGGACCUGUGUGAGUUAUUCCCAGAUGUUAUUAUGUGAAGGAAAUCCCAGUGAAAACAUGUUGGCCUUCACAGUUUGUGGUCAGAGCUAUCCCCUACACUGUUGUUUCAGCCUUUAUCUCACACCAGUUUAAUUCAUUAAGUAUUUGUGGACCUUUUCUGUUCUACCUUUUCAAAAAUAAUAUCAAACAGGAAGCUUUUACUUUCAGUUUCACUAUUGCUGUAUACACAAAUGCAUCACCAACGCUUUAUUAGAGUAGGUUUAACUUCUCCUGACCCAAUUUCUUUUGCACUCCAGAGUCAAUAUUACCUGGAAUUACUGAUUUUAAAACUAUUCCUAAUGGAAUAAAGAGGCCUGCAUCCUUCCACUUGAGAAUUAAU